GCCGACGUGGCACAAUCUGGUACUGCGCGAGGCUCGAACCCUCGUUUCGAAAGAUAUCUCGGUUCAAAUCCGGGCGUCGGCG
RNAcentral lists this transfer RNA (82 nucleotides) under Candidatus Woesearchaeota archaeon. Its description in RNAcentral is "tRNA-Ser". It matches the Rfam family "tRNA". From Rfam's summary of the family: Transfer RNA (tRNA) molecules are approximately 80 nucleotides in length. Their secondary structure includes four short double-helical elements and three loops (D, anti-codon, and T loops). The record is from RNAcentral. Lineage: Archaea; Nanobdellati; Candidatus Woesearchaeota.